UCAACAUACGGACCGUCGGUCUACCGAGCAAUAUCAGCCGCUCGGUGGAAGAUCUUUCCUUUAGUCUA
RNAcentral lists this microRNA precursor (68 nucleotides) under Bombyx mori (domestic silkworm). RNAcentral's name for it is "mir-2774 microRNA precursor family". It matches the Rfam family "mir-2774 microRNA precursor family". The record is from Rfam by way of RNAcentral. Lineage: Eukaryota; Metazoa; Arthropoda; Insecta; Lepidoptera; Bombycidae.